This 255-nucleotide ribosomal RNA is filed under the name uncultured bacterium. RNAcentral's name for it is "partial 16S ribosomal RNA". It matches the Rfam family "Bacterial small subunit ribosomal RNA", at positions 524 to 777 of the family's 1533-position model. The record is from RNAcentral.
UACGGGGGGAGCAAGCGUUGUUCGGAUUUACUGGGCGUAAAGGGCGCGUAGGCGGCGUGACAAGUCACUUGUGAAAUCUCCGGGCUUAACCCGGAACGGUCAAGUGAUACUGUCGUGCUAGAGUACAGAAGGGGCAACUGGAAUUCUCGGUGUAGCGGUGAAAUGCGCAGAUAUCAGGAGGAACACCGGUGGCGAAGGCGGGUCUCUGGGCAGUAACUGACGCUGGAGGAGCGAAAGCGUGGGGAGCAAACAGGA